GGGGGCUUGCCUUAGUUACGGCGAGUGAAGCGGCAAAAGCUCAAAUUUGAAAUCUGGUACCUUCGGUGCCCGAGUUGUAAUUUGGAGAGGGCAACUUUGGGGCCGUUCCUUGUCUAUGUUCCUUGGAACAGGACGUCAUAGAGGGUGAGAAUCCCGUGUGGCGAGGAGUGCGGUUCUUUGUAAAGUGCCUUCGAAGAGUCGAGUUGUUUGGGAAUGCAGCUCUAAGUGGGUGGUAAAUUCCAUCUAAAGCUAAAUAUUGGCGAGAGACCGAUAGCGAACAAGUACAGUGAUGGAAAGAUGAAAAGAACUUUGAAAAGAGAGUGAAAAAGUACGUGAAAUUGUUGAAAGGGAAGGGCAUUUGAUCAGACAUGGUGUUUUGUGCCCUCUGCUCCUUGUGGGUAGGGGAAUCUCGCAUUUCACUGGGCCAGCAUCAGUUUUGGUGGCAGGAUAAAUCCAUAGGAAUGUAGCUUGCCUCGGUAAGUAUUAUAGCCUGUGGGAAUACUGCCAGCUGGGACUGAGGACUGCGACGUAAGUCAAGGAUGCUGGCAUAAUGGUUAUAUGCCGCCCGUCUUGAACCACGGACCA
Molecule: ribosomal RNA, 585 nt
Filed under: Saccharomyces cerevisiae (brewer's yeast)
Lineage: Eukaryota; Fungi; Ascomycota; Saccharomycetes; Saccharomycetales; Saccharomycetaceae
Description: LSU rRNA
Rfam family: Eukaryotic large subunit ribosomal RNA
Source: RNAcentral